AAGAUGAUUCAAGUAGACGACCUAAAUCAAAACGUGGAAUAAGAUAGAAUAUCAGAAAUAUAGGCAGCCGGGUGGUUUAAGGGUGAUUAUAUAUACAAGAGUCCAAUGACAGUACUGUUUGAGAAAAAAAUUCAUGGAUAAUCUUGUCUAUAUCUCAAGCUUUCAUACAAGGAGAUUACUUGUCACGAAUCGUUUAAUAUAAAUUAAAAAGUUAAGGGAUAUCAGGCCUUCUAGGAAUCUUACUCGCAUACAAAGCUACGCCCUUGUUUGAGCCAUUCUUUUCCAUUUUUUCUACAAGACUUAUUUUCAAC
RNAcentral lists this long non-coding RNA (311 nucleotides) under Olea europaea (common olive). RNAcentral describes it as "long non-coding RNA (OEUR_LNC013612)". The record is from RNAcentral. Lineage: Eukaryota; Viridiplantae; Streptophyta; Magnoliopsida; Lamiales; Oleaceae.